AAAUUAAAGCCAUAUACUUUGGUGAUGUUUUCUUUGUGCAGCCCAAUAAAGCUUAUCUGGGGAUCAGAGUAAAAAGCCAGCCCACUAUAUUAAACAUAGAAGUCAGGUAAUGGCAGCACAUGCCUUUAAUUUUAGCAUUCAGGAGACAGAGAUUCAUCUGAAUCUCUGUGAGUUCAAGGCC
Peromyscus maniculatus bairdii (prairie deer mouse) is the source of this 181-nucleotide non-coding RNA. Lineage: Eukaryota; Metazoa; Chordata; Mammalia; Rodentia; Cricetidae. The record is from RefSeq and is a predicted model, not a curated record.